CCGGAUUGCGCCCUAGGAACGCGAGCAGAAAAUCCGAUUAGCGUCCUGCAGUCCCUGCUAAAGCAUCUUCCUGCUGGACUCUGCGGCACGUUGGCCGCGGUCCAGAGAGAUGGCGGCGGCUCCGCCCACGCACGGGCACAACCCUGCGGAAGGGGGAUGCAUCACUUUAUUUUUUAAGAGUCAGCAUCAUGCUAUGUUGCCAGGCAGAAUCCGAACUCUUGGGCCAAAGCAGUUCUCCUAAUUCCGCUUUCUGAGCAGCUGGGACAACAGGCGCACAUGCUCAGAUCACAGUCUAUCACGGCGGGAAACCAAAGGAGGAACUCAAGACAGGAACUGAAGCAAAGACCAUGGAGGAACAUGGCUUACUGGCUGGCUAUCUGCUCUGCUCAGCUAGCUACCCUGGAGAACCAGGCUCUCUUGCCCAGGAGUCAUACUGUCCACAUACUGUCCACAGUAGAGUAGGCCCUCAUCCAUCACCCAGCAGUCAAGAAAAUGCCCCGUAGACAGCUAGUCUGACAGAGGUAAUUUCUCAGGGGAGCUUCCGUCUUGCCAAGUGUGUCAUGUUGACAACAAAGAAUAGCCAUUGCAGAGUCAAAGCUUAGAGAUUAACAUGCAGCCAGACAUACUUAAGUGAUGUGACUGUUGGCUUUGAAGAAGGGAGGGGGCCCCGAGUCAAGGAAGACAGGUGACUUCUAAAAGCUGGACAAGGAUCAUCCCGAGCCUCCAGAAAGAAUGAAACUUGGUAGACGUUGACUUUAGGCUCCUAACAUCAUUUUUUUUUUUUGUUUCUUUCUCAUCUUUUAAACUGAAACAAAUUUUUAAAAAAUGUGUGCUGUUUUAAGCAUCCAUUUUUGGUCAUUAGGAAGUGGUACGGGCAGGGCUCCACAGGAGGCUUAGGAAGCAUGACCUUGUUGGAGAAAGGGUGUUAUUAGGGGUGCUCUUUGAGAUUUCAAAAGCCCACAUCAGGCCUAGUGUUGCUCCCCCUAGCUUUGCCUCUCUAGUACCACGCCUGCCUGCUUUAUGCUCCCCGCCAAGGUGAUUAUGGACUAAGCCUCUGAAACUAUAAGCAAGCCCCCGAUUAAAUGCUUUCCCU
Microtus oregoni (creeping vole) is the source of this 1093-nucleotide long non-coding RNA. RefSeq lists it as uncharacterized. Lineage: Eukaryota; Metazoa; Chordata; Mammalia; Rodentia; Cricetidae. The record is from RefSeq and is a predicted model, not a curated record. The transcript is spliced from 3 exons.